This 964-nucleotide ribosomal RNA is filed under the name uncultured bacterium. RNAcentral describes it as "bacterial SSU rRNA". It matches the Rfam family "Bacterial small subunit ribosomal RNA", at positions 60 to 1022 of the family's 1533-position model. The record is from RNAcentral.
AGUCGANCGGUAACAGGUCUUCGGAUGCUGACGAGUGGCGAACGGGUGAGUAAUACAUCGGAACGUGCCUAGUAGUGGGGGAUAACUACUCGAAAGAGUAGCUAAUACCGCAUGAGAUCUACGGAUGAAAGCAGGGGACCUUCGGGCCUUGUGCUACUAGAGCGGCUGAUGGCAGAUUAGGUAGUUGGUGGGGUAAAGGCUUACCAAGCCUGCGAUCUGUAGCUGGUCUGAGAGGACGACCAGCCACACUGGGACUGAGACACGGCCCAGACUCCUACGGGAGGCAGCAGUGGGGAAUUUUGGACAAUGGGCGAAAGCCUGAUCCAGCAAUGCCGCGUGCAGGAUGAAGGCCCUCGGGUUGUAAACUGCUUUUGUACGGAACGAAAAGCCUGGGGCUAAUAUCCCCGGGUCAUGACGGUACCGUAAGAAUAAGCACCGGCUAACUACGUACCAGCAGCCGCGGUAAUACGUAGGGUGCAAGCGUUAAUCGGAAUUACUGGGCGUAAAGCGUGCGCAGGCGGUUUUGUAAGACAGUGGUGAAAUCCCCGGGCUCAACCCGGGAACUGCCAUUGUGACUGCAAGGCUAGAGUGCGGCAGAGGGGGAUGGAAUUCCGCGUGUAGCAGUGAAAUGCGUAGAUAUGCGGAGGAACACCGAUGGCGAAGGCAAUCCCCUGGGCCUGCACUGACGCUCAUGCACGAAAGCGUGGGGAGCAAACAGGAUUAGAUACCCUGGUAGUCCACGCCCUAAACGAUGUCAACUGGUUGUUGGGUCUUAACUGACUCAGUAACGAAGCUAACGCGUGAAGUUGACCGCCUGGGGAGUACGGCCGCAAGGUUGAAACUCAAANGAAUUGACGGGGANCCGCACAAGCGGUGGNUGAUGUGGUUUAAUUCGAUGCAACGCGAAAAACCUUACCCACCUCUGACAUGGCAGGAANUUACCAGAGAUGGUUUGGNGCUCGAA